GAUGAACGCUAGCUACAGGCUUAACACAUGCAAGUCGAGGGGAAACGACAUCGAAAGCUUGCUUUUGAUGGGCGUCGACCGGCGCACGGGUGAGUAACGCGUAUCCAACCUGCCCACCACUUGGGGAUAACCUUGCGAAAGUAAGACUAAUACCCGAUGAUAUCCCUAGAAGACAUCUGAAAGGGAUUAAAGAUUUAUCGGUGAUGGAUGGGGAUGCGUCUGAUUAGCUUGUUGGCGGGGUAACGGCCCACCAAGGCAACGAUCAGUAGGGGUUCUGAGAGGAAGGUCCCCCCACAUUGGAACUGAGACACGGUCCAAAACUCCUACGGGAGGCAGCAGUGAGGAAUAUUGGUCAAUGGGCGAGAGCCUGAACCAGCCAAGUAGCGUGCAGGACGACGGCCCUAUGGGUUGUAAACUGCUUUUAUAAGGGAAUAAAGUGAGUCUCGUGAGACUUUUUGCAUGUACCUUAUGAAUAAGGACCGGCUAAUUCCGUG
This 494-nucleotide ribosomal RNA is filed under the name uncultured bacterium. Its description in RNAcentral is "bacterial SSU rRNA". It matches the Rfam family "Bacterial small subunit ribosomal RNA", at positions 28 to 507 of the family's 1533-position model. The record is from RNAcentral.